CCUACGGGUGGCUGCAGUGAGGAAUAUUGGUCAAUGGGCGCGAGCCUGAACCAGCCAAGUAGCGUGAAGGAUGACUGCCCUACGGGUUGUAAACUUCUUUUAUAAAGGAAUAAAGUGAGGCACGUGUGCCUUUUUGUAUGUACUUUAUGAAUAAGGAUCGGCUAACUCCGUGCCAGCAGCCGCGGUAAUACGGAGGAUCCGAGCGUUAUCCGGAUUUAUUGGGUUUAAAGCGCUCGUAGGCGGUAUGUCAAGUCAAGGGUGAAAUCCCCGCGCUCAACGUGGGAACUGCCUUUGAAACUGGCAAACUGGAGUGUGUGAGAGGAUAGUGGAAGUCCAGGUGUAGGAGUGAAAUCCGUAGAUAUCUGGAGGAACAUCAGUGGCGAAGGCGACUAUCUGGCACAUAACUGACGCUGAGGAGCGAAAGUGUGGGUAUCAAACAGGAUUAGAUACCCCAGUAGUC
RNAcentral lists this ribosomal RNA (460 nucleotides) under uncultured bacterium. RNAcentral describes it as "partial 16S ribosomal RNA". It matches the Rfam family "Bacterial small subunit ribosomal RNA", at positions 338 to 795 of the family's 1533-position model. The record is from RNAcentral.